UGUCAAGGGAUGGGAAUCGAACCCACAACCUUCCGCUUACCGGGCAGAAUCAAUGACCACUAGGCUACCCUGGAC
Non-coding RNA from Cordylochernes scorpioides, 75 nucleotides. The record is from the annotation of a GenBank genome assembly. NCBI's taxonomy places the organism in Eukaryota, Metazoa, Arthropoda, Arachnida, Pseudoscorpiones, Chernetidae.